RNAcentral lists this long non-coding RNA (438 nucleotides) under Homo sapiens (human). RNAcentral's name for it is "small nucleolar RNA host gene 5". The stretch from base 389 to 438 matches the Rfam family "Small nucleolar RNA SNORD50", at positions 1 to 50 of the family's 72-position model. The record is from RNAcentral. Lineage: Eukaryota; Metazoa; Chordata; Mammalia; Primates; Hominidae.
GCUGCGCACUUCGGUCUUUUACGUCGGCCUUCGCGAGCGUCUGGGCGGGUGGAACAAUGGCGCUGUCUUCAGUGGCACAGUGGAGCAGCUCUGAAGAUGCAAAGAUACACGAAAAAACUUCCAGAACAUCUGGGAGAAUAUUUAAUGGAAAAUCGCUUGGUUAAAACCUGACACUUUUAACAGUGAACAGCGUUCUGAGUGUGGACGAGUAGCCAGUGAAGAUAAUGAAUGUCGAAUGUGACUGACUAGCAGCUUCAUUUUGAAUGAGGGUCGCUGUCUGCCCAUUGAUAGAGGCCAGAUUGUCUUGGAAGUUCCAAAGUUGCAACGAUUUCUGUAAGUGGAGUUUUUCUGUUUGCUUAGAGAUCAGUGAAUAUUGUGUCCUUGGUCUUAUCUGUGAUGAUCUUAUCCCGAACCUGAACUUCUGUUGAAAAAAAAAAA